Molecule: ribosomal RNA, 433 nt
Filed under: uncultured bacterium
Lineage: Bacteria
Description: partial 16S ribosomal RNA
Rfam family: Bacterial small subunit ribosomal RNA
Source: RNAcentral
AACGAACGCUGGCGGCAUGCCUAACACAUGCAAGUCGAACGAGACCUUCGGGUCUAGUGGCGCACGGGUGCGUAACGCGAGGGAACCUGCCCUUAGGUUCGGAAUAACUCCCCGAAAGGGGUGCUAAUAGCGGAUAAUGUCUUCGGACCAAAGAUUUAUCGCCUUUGGAUGGGCCCGCGUUGGAUUAGCUGGUUGGUAGGGUAAAAGCCUACCAAGGCGACGAUCCAUAGCUGGGUAGAGAGGAAGGUCAGCCACACUGGGACUGGGACGCGGCCCGGACUCCUACGGGAGGCAGCAGUGGGGAAUAGAGGACAGUGGGGGAAGGCCUGAUCCAGCUAUGCCGCGUGAGUGAUGAAGGCCUUAGGGUUGUAAAGCGCUUUUAACCGGGAUGAUAAUGACAGUACCGGGAGAAUAAGCUCCGGCUAACUCCGUG